AAGCCUUCGGGCUUAGUGGCGGACGGGUGAGUAACGCGUGGGAACAUACCCAAAGGUACGGAAUAGCCUCGGGAAACUGGGAGUAAUACCGUAUGUGCCCUUCGGGGGAAAGAUUUAUCGCCUUUGGAUUGGCCCGCGUUGGAUUAGGUAGUUGGUGGGGUAAUGGCCUACCAAGCCGACGAUCCAUAGCUGGUUUGAGAGGAUGAUCAGCCACACUGGGACUGAGACGCGGCCCAGACUCCUACGGGAGGCAGCAGUGGGGAAUCUUAGACAAUGGGGGCAACCCUGAUCUAGCCAUGCCGCGUGAUCGAUGAAGGCCUUAGGGUUGUAAAGAUCUUUCAGUUGGGAAGAUAAUGACUGUACCAACAGAAGAAGCCCCGGCUAACUCCGUGCCAGCAGCCGCGGUAAUACGGAGGGGGCUAGCGUUAUUCGGAAUUACUGGGCGUAAAGCGCACGUAGGCGGACUGGAAAGUCAGAGGUGAAAUCCCAGGGCUCAACCUUGGAACUGCCUUUGAAACUCCCAGUCUUGAGGUCGAGAGAGGUGAGUGGAAUUCCGAGUGUAGAGGUGAAAUUCGUAGAUAUUCGGAGGAACACCAGUGGCGAAGGCGGCUCACUGGCUCGAUACUGACGCUGAGGUGCGAAAGCGUGGGGAGCAAACAGGGUUAGAUACCCUGGUAGUCCACGCCGUAAACGAUGAAUG
This 700-nucleotide ribosomal RNA is filed under the name uncultured Alphaproteobacteria bacterium. RNAcentral's name for it is "bacterial SSU rRNA". It matches the Rfam family "Bacterial small subunit ribosomal RNA", at positions 69 to 815 of the family's 1533-position model. Lineage: Bacteria; Pseudomonadati; Pseudomonadota; Alphaproteobacteria. The record is from RNAcentral.